UACGUAGGGUGCGAGCGUUAAUCGGAAUUACUGGGCGUAAAGCGUGCGCAGGCGGUUCGUUAUGUCCGAUGUGAAAGCCCCGAGCUUAACUUGGGAAUGGCAUUGGAAACUGGCGGGCUGGAGUGCGGCAGAGGAGGGUGGAAUUCCACGUGUAGCAGUGAAAUGCGUAGAGAUGUGGAGGAACACCGAUGGCGAAGGCAGCCCCCUGGGCCGACACUGACGCUCAGGCACGAAAGCGUGGGGAGCAAACAGG
This 253-nucleotide ribosomal RNA is filed under the name uncultured bacterium. Its description in RNAcentral is "partial 16S ribosomal RNA". It matches the Rfam family "Bacterial small subunit ribosomal RNA", at positions 524 to 776 of the family's 1533-position model. The record is from RNAcentral.